RNAcentral lists this unclassified non-coding RNA (343 nucleotides) under soil metagenome. Its description in RNAcentral is "partial contains 5.8S ribosomal RNA, internal transcribed spacer 2, and large subunit ribosomal RNA". The stretch from base 1 to 120 matches the Rfam family "5.8S ribosomal RNA", at positions 35 to 154 of the family's 154-position model. The record is from RNAcentral.
GAUGAAGAACGCAGCGAAAUGCGAUAAGUAAUGCGAAUUGCAGAAUUCAGUGAAUCAUCGAAUCUUUGAACGCACAUUGCGCCCGCUAGUAUUCUGGCGGGCAUGCCUGUCCGAGCGUCAUUUCAACCCUCAAGCCCCCGGGCUUGGUGUUGGGGAUCGGCGAGCCUCCGCGCCCGCCGUCCCCUAAAUCUAGUGGCGGUCUCGCUGUAGCUUCCUCUGCGUAGUAGCACACCUCGCACUGGGAAACAGCGCGGCCACGCCGUUAAACCCCCAACUUCUGAACGUUUGACCUCGGAUCAGGUAGGAAUACCCGCUGAACUUAAGCAUAUCAAUAAGCGGAGGA